This 451-nucleotide ribosomal RNA is filed under the name uncultured organism. Its description in RNAcentral is "partial 16S ribosomal RNA". It matches the Rfam family "Bacterial small subunit ribosomal RNA", at positions 330 to 797 of the family's 1533-position model. The record is from RNAcentral.
CGUACACUCCUACGGGAGGCAGCAGUGGGGAAUAUUGGACAAUGGGCGCAAGCCUGAUCCAGCCAUGCCGCGUGAGUGAUGAAGGCCCUAGGGUUGUAAAGCUCUUUCACCGGUGAAGAUAAUGACGGUAACCGGAGAAGAAGCCCCGGCUAACUUCGUGCCAGCAGCCGCGGUAAUACGAAGGGGGCUAGCGUUGUUCGGAUUUACUGGGCGUAAAGCGCACGUAGGCGGACUAUUAAGUCAGGGGUGAAAUCCCGGGGCUCAACCCCGGAACUGCCUUUGAUACUGGUAGUCUUGAGUUCGAGAGAGGUGAGUGGAAUUCCGAGUGUAGAGGUGAAAUUCGUAGAUAUUCGGAGGAACACCAGUGGCGAAGGCGGCUCACUGGCUCGAUACUGACGCUGAGGUGCGAAAGCGUGGGGAGCAAACAGGAUUAGAAACCCUGGUAGUCCCA